This 1554-nucleotide ribosomal RNA is filed under the name Salmonella enterica subsp. enterica. RNAcentral's name for it is "bacterial SSU rRNA". It matches the Rfam family "Bacterial small subunit ribosomal RNA". RNAcentral also lists the same sequence under 1 other name. Lineage: Bacteria; Pseudomonadati; Pseudomonadota; Gammaproteobacteria; Enterobacterales; Enterobacteriaceae. The record is from RNAcentral.
AAAUUGAAGAGUUUGAUCAUGGCUCAGAUUGAACGCUGGCGGCAGGCCUAACACAUGCAAGUCGAACGGUAACAGGAAGCAGCUUGCUGCUUUGCUGACGAGUGGCGGACGGGUGAGUAAUGUCUGGGAAACUGCCUGAUGGAGGGGGAUAACUACUGGAAACGGUGGCUAAUACCGCAUAACGUCGCAAGACCAAAGAGGGGGACCUUCGGGCCUCUUGCCAUCAGAUGUGCCCAGAUGGGAUUAGCUUGUUGGUGAGGUAACGGCUCACCAAGGCGACGAUCCCUAGCUGGUCUGAGAGGAUGACCAGCCACACUGGAACUGAGACACGGUCCAGACUCCUACGGGAGGCAGCAGUGGGGAAUAUUGCACAAUGGGCGCAAGCCUGAUGCAGCCAUGCCGCGUGUAUGAAGAAGGCCUUCGGGUUGUAAAGUACUUUCAGCGGGGAGGAAGGUGUUGUGGUUAAUAACCGCAGCAAUUGACGUUACCCGCAGAAGAAGCACCGGCUAACUCCGUGCCAGCAGCCGCGGUAAUACGGAGGGUGCAAGCGUUAAUCGGAAUUACUGGGCGUAAAGCGCACGCAGGCGGUCUGUCAAGUCGGAUGUGAAAUCCCCGGGCUCAACCUGGGAACUGCAUUCGAAACUGGCAGGCUUGAGUCUUGUAGAGGGGGGUAGAAUUCCAGGUGUAGCGGUGAAAUGCGUAGAGAUCUGGAGGAAUACCGGUGGCGAAGGCGGCCCCCUGGACAAAGACUGACGCUCAGGUGCGAAAGCGUGGGGAGCAAACAGGAUUAGAUACCCUGGUAGUCCACGCCGUAAACGAUGUCUACUUGGAGGUUGUGCCCUUGAGGCGUGGCUUCCGGAGCUAACGCGUUAAGUAGACCGCCUGGGGAGUACGGCCGCAAGGUUAAAACUCAAAUGAAUUGACGGGGGCCCGCACAAGCGGUGGAGCAUGUGGUUUAAUUCGAUGCAACGCGAAGAACCUUACCUGGUCUUGACAUCCACAGAACUUUCCAGAGAUGGACUGGUGCCUUCGGGAACCGUGAGACAGGUGCUGCAUGGCUGUCGUCAGCUCGUGUUGUGAAAUGUUGGGUUAAGUCCCGCAACGAGCGCAACCCUUAUCCUUUGUUGCCAGCGAUUAGGUCGGGAACUCAAAGGAGACUGCCAGUGAUAAACUGGAGGAAGGUGGGGAUGACGUCAAGUCAUCAUGGCCCUUACGACCAGGGCUACACACGUGCUACAAUGGCGCAUACAAAGAGAAGCGACCUCGCGAGAGCAAGCGGACCUCAUAAAGUGCGUCGUAGUCCGGAUUGGAGUCUGCAACUCGACUCCAUGAAGUCGGAAUCGCUAGUAAUCGUGGAUCAGAAUGCCACGGUGAAUACGUUCCCGGGCCUUGUACACACCGCCCGUCACACCAUGGGAGUGGGUUGCAAAAGAAGUAGGUAGCUUAACCUUCGGGAGGGCGCUUACCACUUUGUGAUUCAUGACUGGGGUGAAGUCGUAACAAGGUAACCGUAGGGGAACCUGCGGUUGGAUCACCUCCUUACCUUAAAGAAGC